Molecule: ribosomal RNA, 256 nt
Filed under: uncultured bacterium
Lineage: Bacteria
Description: partial 16S ribosomal RNA
Rfam family: Bacterial small subunit ribosomal RNA
Source: RNAcentral
GAUCCUGGCUCAGGACGAACGCUGGCGGCGCGCCUAACACAUGCAAGUCGAACGGAGCUUAGAGAGCUUGCUUUUUAAGCUUAGUGGCGAACGGGUGAGUAACGCGUGAGUAACCUGCCCUAGAGUGGGGGACAACAGUUGGAAACGACUGCUAAUACCGCAUAAGCCCACGGUACCGCAUGGUACUGGGGGAAAAGGAUUUAUUCGCUUUAGGAUGGACUCGCGUCCAAUUAGCUAGUUGGUGAGGUAACGGCCC